UUUCUUUUCUCCGUAGUCCAUUUUUUUCUAGGUAUCAGUGACGGAAAGACAUCCCUUGACGAACCUUUCCAGAAACUAUCUAUAAUCUUCUGGACAAAUUCCACUCUAUGUCGAGGGUUUUUAGUUUCUAAGAACGGACCCUGUGGUAUUGAUGACGAUGAUCUACCGAGAAGGAUGUCAUUUGGACCCAAAUACGCUCCGUCGUCGGGAUCAUUUGGGAGUCUUCCGAUGGGUCGUGAAUUCAAUGAAUUUGCUGACUCCAACAAACACGUAUAGAACUCGAACGCGGUUCACCGAUUGCUAACUUCAGCGCUCUUUUUGCACUUUUGACUAACGACUCCACGCAGCCGUUGUGAUGAGGUGCUGUUGGUGUGGUGAAUUUCCAGGUCAUACCCUUCUCUGCACCAUAUUCUUCUAAUUUUAUCUGAUCUCGCCCUUCAAUCAUUGCCUUUAAUUCAGCACCGACGAGUUGAGAACCAUUAUCACUCAUUAUAAGACUGGGUUGCCCACGAAGGGAGAAAAAUCGUUGCAACGUUUUUAAAAAUUCCAUUGUAGAAUAACUUGACGUGAUAAGGACCAAAACAGUCACACGACGUGUGGUAAAAUGGUGGUGAAUGUGUCUUCAGACGUUUAAUAGGAAUAUCGGCCAUAUAUUGCUCUUCGGUUUUUGCUUGUCUUUUACGACAUAUAACACAGCGGUACUUAACAGCGGUACUUAACAGUACAUAACUUGUUCAUAUAUGAUUUAAAAGAACACGUGGAUACAGAUAAAAAACAAACAAAACUACAGCAUCUAGAGGGACCUCAUCAAACAAAUUCCACCUCCUAACAAAAACCGAAAAACCUGCUAUAUUUUUUUUGAAAAAAGACUACUAAUCCUAAAAGGACAUAAAAAGAAAAUUUAAAUAAACGCUCUGAACUUUUUAGUGCAUGCCUUCGUUAAUUUAACUCCUCGUAACGAAUUGUAUACACAGUGAAUAAUAAAUAAUCUGUCAGUUGCCUGAA
Xenia sp. Carnegie-2017 is the source of this 1005-nucleotide long non-coding RNA. RefSeq lists it as uncharacterized. Lineage: Eukaryota; Metazoa; Cnidaria; Anthozoa; Malacalcyonacea; Xeniidae. The transcript is spliced from 2 exons. The record is from RefSeq and is a predicted model, not a curated record.